RNAcentral lists this long non-coding RNA (1237 nucleotides) under Salvia miltiorrhiza (redroot sage). RNAcentral describes it as "long non-coding RNA (SMIL_LNC007103)". The record is from RNAcentral. Lineage: Eukaryota; Viridiplantae; Streptophyta; Magnoliopsida; Lamiales; Lamiaceae.
GUGUGUCACUACUCACAGAAAAAUAUGCUCCAUGGUGGUGGUAUGAACAAAGCGCGAGUUCCCUCAUCUUCCAAGCUCAACACUGCACUAAACUCCCAAAGAAAACAACGAAACAAAAAGAAACAAAAAAGAAACUAAAAGAAAGAAAAACAAAACAAAGAAAAACAGUUGGGUUACCUCCCAACAAGUGCUUAAUUUAACGUCUAGAGCUCGACGAUACCUUACGGUCUCAAUGAACAUCAAACGCCGCGGGCGUGACAGAUUGCCUAACACGAACAGAGACAGAGGACUCAUGCGCAUCAGCUGCGUGAAAGAUAACGCUUCCAUUGGGCACAUCUAUCAUAGCCCUCCCCGUAGCUAAGAAUGAUCGACCAAGAAUCAAUGGCGGAUUUGUAUCUUCAGGAAUAUCGAGGACCAAGAAAUCCGUAGGGAAGACGAGCUUGUCAACCUUCACAAAGAUGUCGUCAAGCUUUCCUCUCGGCUUCACUCUUGAUCUAUCCGCCAUCUGAAUCUCCAUUGAGGUCGGCUUGAGAUCUCCAAUUCCCAACCGCUUGAAAACAGAGAUGGGCAUCACAUUGACACUAGCCCCUAAAUCGCAAAGAGCCUUGGGAAAGAGCUCUACCUCCCAAUCUCGCACUCAAUGGUGAAGCUACCCGGAUCUUUCUUCUUCGAAAGUAGCUUCAUUGGCAGCUCAGUGCCCACAGCUGUCACCUGCGAGAUUUUCCUAUCCUCAUGACCCAUCUUCUUGGUGUGAACGACUGCCUUUUUUUCUUUAUCAUUGGUAGGGGAACGAAUAUUGGCAGAGAAAUGGUUGAUUUCUCUGCUCUGGCUGUUGAGUUCUGAACUUUGCUUCGCUGCUCUGCUAUCUUGAGGCUCUGCACGCCGGUCUGAUUCUUCAAGUAGCCUCUCUAGCUUAUCCACUAUGCGUCUAUGCUCUGUCCGUAGCUUAUCCACUAUGCGUCUAUUCUUCAAGUAGCCUCUCUAGCCCUCCCCGUAGCUAAGAAUGAUCGACCAAGAAUCAAUGGCGGAUUUGUAUCUUCAAGAAUAUCGAGGACCAAGAAAUCCGUAGGGAAGACGAGCUUGUCAACCUUCACGAAGACAUCGUCAAGCUUUCCUCUCGGCUUCACUCUUGAUCUAUCCGCCAUCUGAAUCUCCAUUGAGGUCGGCUUGAGAUCUCCAAUUCCCAACCGCUUGAAAACAGAGAUGGGCAUCACAUUGACACUAGCCCCUAAAUCGC